MicroRNA precursor from Oryza rufipogon (brownbeard rice), 204 nucleotides. It matches the Rfam family "MIR812 microRNA precursor family". NCBI's taxonomy places the organism in Eukaryota, Viridiplantae, Streptophyta, Magnoliopsida, Poales, Poaceae. The record is from Rfam.
CCAUCGUGUAGCUAUUGGUUUCCAUGACCAACGUUUGAUCAUCCGUCUUAUUUUAAAAAAAAUGAUUAAUAUUUUUAUUGUUAUUAGAUAAUAAAGCAUGAAUAGUACUUUAUGUGUGACUAUUUUUUAAAAAAAAUUUCAUAUUUUUUUCAAAUAUGACGAACAGUUAAACGUUGGUCACGGAAACCCAUAACUGCAAUUAUA